UACUUCGAUUUGAAAUCGAAAGGCAGACACACGUGGUCCCUCAUCGUUUUUAUGUAGCUAACAAACGUUUGUGUACAGUGUACUAAAGAUUUGUUUUCCCAAAAUAAAAUUAUUAAUUAUAAUUAAUAUAUAAAUUUCAUAAAAUUAUAGAUUUUCUGACUAGCUAAUGAUUGGGACCGCGACCAUUCUUUUAAAGGUUAGCAUAUUCCUUAGAAAACUCGACAAUCUAAAGCAAAAUGAGUUGCAGAAACAAACCGCAUGCAGUUCUUGUGCCAUUCCCACUCCAAGGCCAUGUAAACCCUUUUAUGAAGCUCGCGAAGCUUCUCCACUUUAAUGGCUUCCACAUCUCCUUUGUCAACACCGAAUUCAACCACCAGCGUCUCAUCCGCUCCAAAGGCCCGGAGUCCGUCGAAGGUUUGCCGGACUUUCGGUUCGAGACCAUCCCCGACGGCAUGCCUCACUCAGAUCAAGAUACCAGUCAGGACAUACCGAUGCUUUGUGACAUGACCAGAAAGACAUGUUUGGUUCCGUUCAAGGAGUUGUUGCAGAAGUUGAGCUCGUCAGCCGGAAUCCCACCAGUCAGCUGCGUCGUCGGAGAUGGCCUGAUGACCUUUGCGAUAAAAGCUGCUAAGGAUUUGGGGAUUCCGGAGGUUCAGUUCUGGACUUCUUCGGCGUGUUCUUUCAUGGGACUUUUGCAAUAUCGAGAGUUAAUCAAAAGAGGAAUUGUUCCUUUUAAAGAUGAUAGCUAUCUAACGGAUGGAACAUUGGAAAAAACAAUCGAUUGGAUCCCGGGGAUGAGCAAUAUUCGUUAUAAAGAUAUUCCAAGUUUCAUUAGAACAACAGAUUCCGACGAUAUCAUGCUGAAUUUCUCGGGCGAGGAGACCCAAAAUAACUUGAAUGCUUCCGCGAUUAUCUUCAAUACUUUCGAUGCAUUAGAGCACGACGUAUUAGAAGCCAUUGCACCCAAAUUCAAUUACCACAACAUGUUCACACUCGGCCCUCUUCACUUACUCGCCAAAUACGUUCCAGAUGAUAGUCCACUACACUCGUUGAAUUCGAGUUUAUGGAAACCAGACUCCUCAUGUUUGCAAUGGCUAGACCAGAAGAAGGAAAGGUCUGUUAUCUAUGUCAAUUAUGGAAGUUUGACUACUAUGACUGAGCAACAUCUGAUUGAGUUUGCAUGGGGUUUAGCAAAUAGCAAGCAAUCGUUCUUAUGGGUGGUUCGACCAGAUGUGACAAUGGGGGAUUCAGCGAUUUUGCCUGAAGAAUUCUUGAAGGAGACGAAGGAUAGAGGACUCAUGGUGAGUUGGUGCGAACAAGAUCAGGUUCUGGCCCACCCAUCGAUUGGUGGGUUUUUAACACAUUGUGGGUGGAAUUCUACGACUGAAAGCAUAUCGGAAGGUGUUCCGUUGAUCUGUUGGCCUUUCUUCGCAGAUCAACAAACAAAUUGUCGAUACUCUUGUGUUGAAUGGGGAAUUGGGAUGGAGAUUAAUCACGAUGUGAAGCGAAAUGAAGUUGAAGUUCUUGUUAAGGAAAUGCUUCUGGGGAAUGAUGGAAAGGAAAUGAGAAGAAAGGCCAAUGAAUGGAAAACGAAAGCAAAAGAAGCGAAUGAUAUUGGUGGUUCGUCAUAUAAUAACUUCCAUCGGUUUAUCAAAGAGGCUCUUCUUUCGGGAGUUUCCCACGUUUAAGAAACGUGUCACAGGUUCAAUAUGUUUUCAUUUUUGAUCAGGCUCUAAACGUAACUUUGAAGGCCCUACAACCACUAUCUUCCACGUCCUUCCAAUCGAAUCAGACAGCAAAAUGAAACAUAUGGAAAUCGAGGCAGAGGCAUCCCAUUUGGCCAAAUUAGGAUUAGAGGAUGCUACUAAGAAUCCCCCUGAAAACCCCCCUUUUAAAGAAGGAAAAUCCUAAGAGCUUGUCUGCUGCCGCUGUGUUCUAGUAGAAACUCUUUAGGUCUGGGUUUGGCUGCUUUGUGGCGUCGACCACUGAUUCUUCGGUUGUUACACCUAUCCCUAUCCUCUCCGAUACCAUGACUUAGAACGAGGAGCAUGUAGGAAACGAAUCCGUGGACACGGAGACAAUUAUCUAUAAUCCCCCUCUUCGUCGGGCUCUAUCGUCAUAAUAGGAAAAGAAGCUACUAUGCCAACACUGAUUACCCUCGCUGCAUCACUUCCCCAGUUUCAGCAUCCUUUCACUAUGACUAGUGUUCCUCCGAAUCGUUUUCAAACGGGGGUUGCCUCUGAUGAGGAUGCACUAGAUAAGGCUCGGUCAUGCUUUAUGGAAGGGAUGUACUUGUUGAGUGAAGUGUCUCUCCGCAUGAAAACAUGCUCAGAGGAGCUUUCCAAACGCCAGGUUGUUUUUGACAAAGCUUUGGAAGGGCUAAAACAGUUGUAGGUCCUUCACAAACAGACAGAGAAAGAUGCCAAAGAGUUAAAGGAAGAGGUUGUUGGUUUGUCAGAAAGGAACCGAAGUCUGGUAGUAGAUUUGAUUCGAUCUAUUGGUCAGCAGGAGGAGCUGAAAAAGUUGAACCAGGACUUGCAAAUAAGGAUAAAUGAUGCUCUGGGCCUUAAAGAGCUUGAAGGUGUUUCUCAGCAGUAUCAUUCAUUGAAGUCUCAAUACACAGAGAAAGUUUCUCAAUUGGAGAUUCCCUGUUCGAGUAAGGAUGCCAUCAUUAAGUUGUUGGAGGAGGAUUUGGCUACGCCGAAACUCCUGAUGUUGGAGAGGGAUGCUAAAAUUGCUACGUUAAAUGAUUCAUAAAUCCUGACGGAACAGAAGGUGGCCACUUGCCAGGCAAGAGCGGACCAGGGAGAUGAGGAACUGCAAUGGGUUAUGAAAGAAGGUAUUCCUCUUUUUGUUCGUGCUUUAUUAGAUUCAAGAGACUUUGGUAUUGUGAAUGCUACCUUGCAGACGUCCGCCAUCCAACUUGGCCUUCAUCAAGCUUGUUUUUACAUGAAGGAAAAAUACCCUAAAGAAUUGAAGGAUAAGAGUGUCUUGUAUUCGUACCCAGAUGCACAACGUCAAAUUAUUGAUCAUUUUUUUGAGCUGACAACAUAUAAGUACUCCCUUUUAUCUGCUCUAGGGGAUGAAGGAAUGGACGUUGGUGGUCUAAAAAAAUUGCUGAAGGUUGUCGGUUGUUCCAAGGAGGAUGAAGUUGGAUCGUGUUAAUUUUAGUAGCGGUUUGAAUAUGUAAUCGUUACUUUUUGAUUUCACCCCUGCCGCUAGGCAGGUUUGCUUGUUUUGUUAUUUUGUAAUGACAUCUUGCUAAAUGAAAAUGGACUUUUUCUUUAUA
Lactuca sativa (garden lettuce) is the source of this 3289-nucleotide RNA transcript. It is a transcript of the gene named linamarin synthase 2, with no coding region annotated. The record is from RefSeq and is a predicted model, not a curated record. NCBI's taxonomy places the organism in Eukaryota, Viridiplantae, Streptophyta, Magnoliopsida, Asterales, Asteraceae.